AUGGACAUUCUAACAACAAAAGUUUGGGCUCCUGGAUUUGGCCUAUCCCUAGCGCAACGGACGGGAUGCAAUCGUCUCGUUAUAAAUUCUAAUAAUCUAGAGGUCAUUGAAACCAUGAAUAAUGGCGGACGGUCGGUGAGAGGAGCGGCUGCAGUUUUUAUGAUUGCUAAUUUCUUAGCUUGUGAUUUUGCUAUUUCUAGGUUCAAACAUUGUAAUAGAGAAGCAAAUAAAGUUGCGAACGAGCAUGCUAUAUUAACUAGUUUUUCUUAUAGUGUUGAUUGGUUUAAGGAGCCUAUGAAUUAAAUUGUACCUUUUCUCAUGAACGAUGUAUCUAUUAUUUCAGUUGAUUAA
RNAcentral lists this ribosomal RNA (351 nucleotides) under Triticum aestivum (bread wheat). RNAcentral describes it as "partial small subunit ribosomal RNA". Lineage: Eukaryota; Viridiplantae; Streptophyta; Magnoliopsida; Poales; Poaceae. The record is from RNAcentral.